CAGUCGCCGCGGUAAUGCGAAGGGUGCAAGCGUUAAUCGGAAUUACUGGGCGUAAAGCGUGCGUAGGCGGUGAGUUAAGUCUGCUGUGAAAUCCCCGGGCUCAACCUGGGAAUGGCAAUGGAUACUGGCAAGCUAGAGUGUGUCAGAGGAUGGUGGAAUUCCCGGUGUAGCGGUGAAAUGCGUAGAGAUCGGGAGGAACAUCAGUGGCGAAGGCGGCCAUCUGGGACAACACUGACGCUGAGGCACGAAAGCGUGGGGAGCAAACAGGAUUAGAUACCCCCGUAGUCCCUGUCUCUUAUAC
RNAcentral lists this ribosomal RNA (301 nucleotides) under uncultured bacterium. Its description in RNAcentral is "partial 16S ribosomal RNA". It matches the Rfam family "Bacterial small subunit ribosomal RNA", at positions 509 to 807 of the family's 1533-position model. The record is from RNAcentral.